Molecule: ribosomal RNA, 555 nt
Filed under: Triticum aestivum (bread wheat)
Lineage: Eukaryota; Viridiplantae; Streptophyta; Magnoliopsida; Poales; Poaceae
Description: partial small subunit ribosomal RNA
Source: RNAcentral
AUGGUGAGGUGGCAUAGGAACAGAGAGAGAGGAAAAGCAUCUCUGUGGGAGAUCACACCACAUUAUGCUGAGAAGCUUGAGGAGGAAAAGGAAAGGGCUAGAUUCUGCAAACCUAUUCAAGCUGGUGUAAAUCUUUUGCAGGAGACCAGUGGGCAGCAAACACAUGAUGUAAACUUGGAAGUUUAUACAUGUGGCUGCAGAAAGUGGGACCUGUCUGGCAUACCAUGCAACCAUGCAAUAUCAGCAAUUAACAAGGCAAAAAAAUUUCCAAAGGACUAUGUGUGCAAUUUCUUCAAAAAACCUUUUUACCUUGCUCCAUAUGAACCAAUGAUAUAUGCAGUUCCUGGUGAACAUGAUUGGACAAGGACAAGUGGACCAGACGUAGAGCCACCCAAAUUUCAUGUGAAGAAGGGGAGAAGGAAAGAGAAGAGAAUAAAGGGCAGAUUUGAGGUUCCAAAACCAAAGGACAGUUCAAGAAUGGCCACUAUAACAUGCAGCAAUUGUGGGUUCCAAGGCCAUAGGUACACCAACUGCAAGCAACAGUUAAGACCAUAG